UGGGCUGCUCUUCCCUCCUCGGUGGCUCAGGCUGCGGCAGGGCCCGUGGCCGAUCUUCUCUACCCUCAGGCCGGCGCUGAAUGAACCUAUCGAGUCGACCUCGCCGGAUGAGCUCCUCGAUCUCGUCUCGAAGCUGGAUGCAUUCCUCCGUGUCAUGGCCGUGGUCACGAUGGUAGAGGUAGAACUUGUUUGGGUUGCACUUCCCGGGG
Molecule: long non-coding RNA, 209 nt
Filed under: Elaeis guineensis (African oil palm)
Lineage: Eukaryota; Viridiplantae; Streptophyta; Magnoliopsida; Arecales; Arecaceae
Description: long non-coding RNA (EGUI_LNC048716)
Source: RNAcentral